CCGAAAACAGCGACGUUUAAAAGUGCCCACCUUUCUUAGCUUGGGGAGGAAGAAAGCAAGGGCGGAGGACGCCUCCGACACCACUUCAUCCUGAGACAACUCAUCACCUGCCGUACAUCGAGCCUACGGUUAGGUCCACCUGGCCGUUGGGUUCGCCUCCGACCCGGGCCCCGGCCGAAACCAAGCUCCUAACCGGAAAUUUCCCGCCUUCGAUUCCUUCAUGUAAUGGAGAAAGAAGAGCCGACUUUAAACACCUUUUUAUGAUCCCCUUUUCUAUCGACCAUCUCACUCUGCUGAAGCACUACUGGACGGCUGGCAAGAUUGAACAGUAUCCAGAAGGUAACCCGCCACCCUUACCUGUGGUUCGUUUAAGGAAUGAAGGUGAGGAUCCUGUGUGGUGGGCUGGUGAAUCUCAAGCUGUUGAAGAACCACAUCCAAACAAUUUGGAUGGACUUAUUGUUGUGCCAUGAAGUGCUUGAUGUAAGAUCAGUUCCCUUGACCCUUUUUUUAAAAAAAAAAGGUUUUGUGAUAAAAGCUGCAAAUAAAAUGUUCCUUUAGCGAUCUUGUUGCCCAGGACUUGCAGUUUGGUUCACAAGAAAGCAUCACGAGUUGGCUAGACCGUUUAUAGAAUGAAAUAUGUGGGAACUGAUACCUCCAAAGAUCUCAAUGAAGACGCAAUUUGUGUAUCUCGUGGGAUUUGUACUUUAGUGGCAAUUAUGUCCUCAAUUGUGUGGUCAGCUGAAUAGGGUGAGAGAUUCAAGAUGCUUGUUUGGCUAUGCAAUCCAACAUUUUCCUCAACUCUUUAAAUUCUGUAACCUUUAAAAAUCAAAUUGGAACGACAUCGAAUUUUUGUAGGUAAACAUCCCAAAGGAUCCAAAUGUUAGGGAGAGGUUGGCUUUGCAUGCAA
This is a non-coding RNA of Elaeis guineensis (African oil palm), 907 nucleotides long. Lineage: Eukaryota; Viridiplantae; Streptophyta; Magnoliopsida; Arecales; Arecaceae. The record is from RefSeq and is a predicted model, not a curated record.